Long non-coding RNA from Paramormyrops kingsleyae, 1487 nucleotides. RefSeq lists it as uncharacterized. Lineage: Eukaryota; Metazoa; Chordata; Actinopteri; Osteoglossiformes; Mormyridae. The record is from RefSeq and is a predicted model, not a curated record.
GUCGUACGUCCUAUCACACGUACACGUAAUUGCCGGGUAUUGGUAUGAAUGCGGGUCUGUGUUGGGCCUGUGGUGGACUGGCAACCUGCCCAGGGUGGACCCUGCCUCUCACCUGAAGAUGCUGGGAUUGGCUCCAUCUUCUACGCAACAGAGACGCAUAAAGCAGUAUGGAAGGAUAGAAUAAACCUUUAUUAUCCCACGAAUGAGAAACUGAAGUGUUACAGAGCUCUUAUACAAAAGGAAUAUAGAACAAGAACAGCCUCCUGGACAAAAGCGUGGAGUAACAAGAGACCUGUGACAAGCUGACAGCGAUGGGCAGGGUUCGACCGUGAGUGUGCAGUGGUGUUCAGCAUGUGCAGCAGUGUUCAGCACCAUCCGCCUUUCACAAUUCAUGCAGGAGGGACUAGUUUCAUCUCAUUGCCAUUCAUUGCAUGUGAAUGAGUCGGGAGUAAAUGUGCGCACAGUCAAAGGUCAUCCUAGAGCUGGCCUGGACCCUGUAGAAUGUCACUCAGGCCCUCAGCAGCACCGUGCACAGACUAGGGGGCUCAGCCUCUCUUCCCGUGGACCUUCAGGAGAACGUGAUGAUCUCAGGUGUACGCCAAAGCUGUGCCUGCUGACGAGCUCAGCGUGGCCGUCCACAAAGCUUUCUUUAUUCCUGAUUUUUCCAUACUGGCACCUGCUUCCACAGGCUGAAGGCAGCUGUCAUGACUUGCACCAUGCAACCUGACCUCCACACAAAUCCUGCUCACAGGCUGCACAACUGUAAAUGAGACCUGAAUGACACGUCCUCGGCUUCGCAGUGAAUGAGACGUCCUCGGCUUCGCAGUGAAUGCCACGUCCUCGGCUUCGCAGUGAAUGAGACGUCCUCGGCUUCGCAGUGAAUGACACGUCCUCGGUUUCGCAGUGAAUGCCACGUCCUCGGCUUCGCAGUGAAUGANACGUCCUCGGUUUCGCAGUGAAUGCCACGUCCUCGGCUUCGCAGUGAAUGAUACGUCCUCGGCUUCGCAGUGAAUGCCACGUCCUCGGCUUCGCAGUGAAUGCCACGUCCUCGGCUUCGCAGUGAAUGCCACGUCCCCGGCUUCGCAGUGAAUGCCACGUCCCCGGCUUCGCAGUGAAUGCCACGUCCUCGGCUUCGCAGUGAAUGACACGUCCUCGGCUUCGCAGUAAAUGACACGUCCCCGGUUUCGCAGUGAAUGCCACGUCCUCGGCUUCGCAGUGAAUGACACGUCCUCGGCUUCGCAGUGAAUGCCACGUCCUCGGCUUCGCAGUGAAUGAUACGUCCUCGGCUUCGCAGUGAAUGACACGUCCUCGGCUUCCCAGUGAAUGACAUGUCCUUGGCUACCCAGUGGUCAGUUGUGGCACAGCGCAGCAUUAAAAUGCAUCAACUGUGUGCCUAUUAACGCCACAAGUACCUGAUAUUUCAGCUGAUGAAAUAUCAUUUUUGUUCUUCUUUGUAGGCUUUGUAGGCUUUUGAUACAUCACUCUUA